Small nuclear RNA from Camelus dromedarius (Arabian camel), 99 nucleotides. NCBI's taxonomy places the organism in Eukaryota, Metazoa, Chordata, Mammalia, Artiodactyla, Camelidae. The record is from Ensembl.
GGGCUCACUUUGGCAGCACGUAUACUGAAACGGGAACGACACAGACGAGAUUAGCAUGGCCCCUGCACAAGGAUGACAUGCAAAUUCAUCCGUAUUUCU